This 253-nucleotide ribosomal RNA is filed under the name uncultured bacterium. RNAcentral's name for it is "partial 16S ribosomal RNA". It matches the Rfam family "Bacterial small subunit ribosomal RNA", at positions 524 to 776 of the family's 1533-position model. The record is from RNAcentral.
GACGAACCGUGCGAACGUUAUUCGGAAUCACUGGGCUUAAAGGGCGCGUAGGCGGUCCGGCGCGUCCGGGGUGAAAGCCUCCAGCUCAACUGGAGAAGUGCCCCGGAUACGGCCGGACUCGAGUGGGGUAGGGGCGUGUGGAACUUCCGGUGGAGCGGUGAAAUGCGCAGAUAUCAGGAGGAACACCAAUGGCGAAGGCAGCUCGCUGGAACGGUACUGACGCUGUGGCGCGAAAGCGUGGGGAGCGAACAGG